UGUGGGAGCUGGCUUGCCUGCGAUGAGGUUGUGUCGCCAUGCAUCUCUGUGGCCGAUGCACCGCUAUCGCAGGCAAGCCAGCUCCCACA
RNAcentral lists this non-coding RNA (89 nucleotides) under Pseudomonas tolaasii NCPPB 2192. The record is from RNAcentral. Lineage: Bacteria; Pseudomonadati; Pseudomonadota; Gammaproteobacteria; Pseudomonadales; Pseudomonadaceae.